Long non-coding RNA from Ctenopharyngodon idella (grass carp), 1115 nucleotides. RefSeq lists it as uncharacterized. NCBI's taxonomy places the organism in Eukaryota, Metazoa, Chordata, Actinopteri, Cypriniformes, Xenocyprididae. The record is from RefSeq and is a predicted model, not a curated record. The transcript is spliced from 3 exons.
CACACUUGGCCAAAAACUCCAAAGCCAAUGCUACGCCCUGCACUCAGAUACCGUUAAACCACUGUGGACAAUAAGGGCUCUGUCAUAUCCAACCGAGUGCAGAGUUGUGAUGCAUGUCCAGGAUACCUGACACCUCACAGCUGCCAGCCAACCAGCCAAUCACAGAUGUCCUGCCUAUCCAGCUCAUGUUAUGUUUUUGAAAGUGCAGACUUCUGUGACAGAAGAUAACAGGGCACCUGUAUCACCCCUAGAGUUAUUAUGGGUUACUGGAAUCACUCUUCUGAUUUAAUUAAUAAAUUUAACACUAAAAUUCUAAUACUAUUAAAUUUAAAAACAUUAAUAAAAUAAAAAAAUAAAUAAAUACAGCAAACGAAUAGCAGUCCACGAUUUCCUUGUAACUUCAUGUCAUUAAAUUUACCGCCUCUUCACAUUUCAAAUUGCAACGGCUUUUCUAACUGACCUGUGAGAAGUGAGAAGAGCUGCGAGGGAUGAGAAGAUCUUACUCGGGGUGAACGCGGCUCUUUCCAAACCAAAACGCUCCAGACACACUGUCAAAAAGUAAUUCUGUGACACCCCUCUAACAGGACUUGGUCCUCACAUCACAUGCACAGGAUGUUGGAAGCAGGGUGGAGGCCCCAUACUGGCAAACUGGUAACUGUGAGGAGGGGCAUUCAUUACAGCAAAGGCUGUUUUUUCAGGGGCAACACGUGAGCUGAAUUCAAGGUCUUUUGAAGUAAAUCUCAUAGAAUGUGUCUAUGUGUCACUCAUCGAUGCUUAUAUCUCCAAGGAAUGCAGCAACAAUCUGUGCCCUGGUGAAACACCUCAUUACUAAAGUGGCCAAAAUCAUAUGCACACCACCUGCAAGACAAUAGAAUAUUUGAUUCCACAGACAAAUUAAUUUAAAUGCUCUAGAGGUUGUUUCUGUACUCUAUUAAAAACUAGCAUUUCCAAUCAGAGUCCUGAAUGAACCCUUUGACAUUUAUUUUUCAGCCCUGAAAUGCUUGCAGGACUUGCUGAACCUUUAUAAUUACUGGAAAAUGUUUUCAGAGUUAUCUGGAGUGUUGUAGAGUGCUUUUGAUUCAUUCGAAACAACUGAAUAUCAUCUCUGCGAUCUG